GGCUCCGUAUGUGGAUGUGAUCUGUUUGAACAGCUACUACUCUUGGUAUCACGACUACGGGCACCUGGAGUUGAUUCAGCUGCAGCUGGCCACCCAGUUUGAGAACUGGUAUAAGAAGUAUCAGAAGCCCAUUAUUCAGAGCGAGUAUGGAGCAGAAACGAUUGCAGGGUUUCACCAGGAUCCACCUCUGAUGUUCACUGAAGAGUACCAGAAAAGUCUGCUAGAGCAGUACCAUCUGGGUCUGGAUCAAAAACGCAGAAAAUACGUGGUUGGAGAGCUCAUUUGGAAUUUUGCCGAUUUCAUGACUGAACAGUGUAAGUGGCAGUUUGGCUCAUGGGAUAAUGUACCCGUCCUUAUUUUUUCAGGUUGCCUUUCCAAUUUUGGCCAUUUCAAUUGUAAGAAUAUUGGAAACAAAGUUGGGGAAGCUGGUUUAAUCCAUAUAGGUUGUGUUGAGAAUUUUCUAGGAAAAGUAAGUUGUGUUUAGGAAGUAG
Molecule: small RNA, 491 nt
Filed under: Pan troglodytes (chimpanzee)
Lineage: Eukaryota; Metazoa; Chordata; Mammalia; Primates; Hominidae
Description: retained intron
Source: RNAcentral